This 298-nucleotide long non-coding RNA is filed under the name Mytilus galloprovincialis (Mediterranean mussel). Lineage: Eukaryota; Metazoa; Mollusca; Bivalvia; Mytilida; Mytilidae. The record is from RNAcentral.
CAAAUAUGUGGAACAAAGGUAUUAUUACUCCUAUACCUAAAUGUUCAACUACGGAUCCUAGAGAUCCAUUAUCAUAUAGAGGUAUUACCUUAGCACCUUGUGCAUAUAAGCUUUAUUGUGGCGUUUUAAAUAAAAGGUUAACUGAGUGGUUAGACAAAAGGGAUAUAAUAAAUGAUGAACAAAAUGGGUUUAUUAAAGGUAGAAGUACAAUAGAUCAUAUCAGUACAUUAACAUCUGUUAUUGAAACUAGAAAAAAAUGUAAGCUGUCAACUUUUGUAUCUUUCAUUGAUUUUAAAGA